UACGGAGGGUGCAAGCGUUAUCCGGAUUCACUGGGUUUAAAGGGUGCGUAGGCGGGCAGGUAAGUCAGUGGUGAAAUCUUCGAGCUUAACUCGGAAACUGCCUUUGAUACUAUCUGUCUUGAAUAUGGUGGAGGUAAGCGGAAUAUGUCAUGUAGCGGUGAAAUGCUUAGAGAUGACAUAGAACACCUAUUGCGAAGGCAGCUUACUACGCCUAUAUUGACGCUGAGGCACGAAAAGCGUGGGGGAUCAAAACAGG
RNAcentral lists this ribosomal RNA (256 nucleotides) under uncultured bacterium. RNAcentral describes it as "partial 16S ribosomal RNA". It matches the Rfam family "Bacterial small subunit ribosomal RNA", at positions 524 to 776 of the family's 1533-position model. The record is from RNAcentral.